This is a regulatory RNA element of Nomascus leucogenys (northern white-cheeked gibbon), 45 nucleotides long. It matches the Rfam family "Histone 3' UTR stem-loop". From Rfam's summary of the family: The mRNAs of metazoan histone genes lack a poly-A tail. 3' end processing occurs at a site between a highly conserved stem-loop (modelled by this family) and a purine rich region around 20 nts downstream (the histone downstream element, or HDE). Lineage: Eukaryota; Metazoa; Chordata; Mammalia; Primates; Hylobatidae. The record is from Rfam.
CCAAAGGCUCUUUUCAGAGCCACCAACAAUUUCAGUUGAAAGCGC